GACGAACGCUGGCGGCGUGCUUAACACAUGCAAGUCGAACGGUGAAGGGAGCGGUUUUUGCUGGUUCUGGAUGCGUCGCGCACGUGAGAGUCACACGUGAGUAACCUUCCCCCUUCUUCUGUAUCUCCGCGAAAACGGGUCUAUUAUACGGUAUAUUCUGCAACUGUUGCGUUGUGGAUUUAAGGACGGUUUUGUUUCCGCUUAUAGAUGGCUCCGCGCCUCAUUAGCUAGUUGGUAAGGUAACGGCUUACCAAGGCAACGAUGCGUAGCCGACCUGAGAGGAUGAUCGGCCACACUGGAACUGAGACACGGUCCAGACUCCUACGGGAGGCAGCAGUAGGGAAUCUUCCGCAAUGGGCGAAAGCUUGACGGAGCAACGCCGCGUGAGUGAUGAAGGUCUUCGGAUCGUAAAACUCUGUUAUUAGGGAAGAACAAAUGUGUAAGUAACUAUGCACGUCUUGACGGUACCUAAUCAGAAAGCCACGGCUAACUACGUG
RNAcentral lists this ribosomal RNA (497 nucleotides) under uncultured bacterium. RNAcentral's name for it is "partial 16S ribosomal RNA". It matches the Rfam family "Bacterial small subunit ribosomal RNA", at positions 28 to 507 of the family's 1533-position model. The record is from RNAcentral.